CCUACGGGAGGCUGCAGUGGGGAAUAUUGCACAAUGGGCGCAAGCCUGAUGCAGCCAUGCCGCGUGUGUGAAGAAGGCCUUCGGGUUGUAAAGCACUUUCAGCGGGGAGGAAGGCGGUGAGGUUAAUAACCUCAUCGAUUGACGUUACCCGCAGAAGAAGCACCGGCUAACUCCGUGCCAGCAGCCGCGGUAAUACGGAGGGUGCAAGCGUUAAUCGGAAUUACUGGGCGUAAAGCGCACGCAGGCGGUCUGUCAAGUCGGAUGUGAAAUCCCCGGGCUCAACCUGGGAACUGCAUUCGAAACUGGCAGGCUAGAGUCUUGUAGAGGGGGGUAGAAGUCCAGGUGUAGCGGUGAAAUGCGUAGAGAUAUGGAGGAAUACCGGUGGCGAAGGCGGCCCCCUGGACAAAGACUGACGCUCAGGUGCGAAAGCGUGGGGAGCAAACAGGAUUAGAUACCCGUGUAGUC
Molecule: ribosomal RNA, 465 nt
Filed under: uncultured Klebsiella sp.
Lineage: Bacteria; Pseudomonadati; Pseudomonadota; Gammaproteobacteria; Enterobacterales; Enterobacteriaceae
Description: bacterial SSU rRNA
Rfam family: Bacterial small subunit ribosomal RNA
Source: RNAcentral